CCAAAAACUCUUGGUGCAAAUCCAAGUAGCAGCU
This 34-nucleotide transfer RNA is filed under the name Cynoscion regalis (gray weakfish). Its description in RNAcentral is "partial tRNA-Leu". Lineage: Eukaryota; Metazoa; Chordata; Actinopteri; Sciaenidae. The record is from RNAcentral.